AUUGAACGCUGGCGGCAUGCUUUACACAUGCAAGUCGAACGGCAGCGCGGGGCAACCUGGCGGCGAGUGGCGAACGGGUGAGUAAUAUAUCGGAACGUACCCAGAAGUGGGGGAUAACGUAGCGAAAGUUACGCUAAUACCGCAUACGAUCUACGGAUGAAAGUAGGGGACCGCAAGGCCUUAUGCUUUUGGAGCGGCCGAUAUCUGAUUAGCUAGUUGGUGAGGUAAAGGCUCACCAAGGCGACGAUCAGUAGCUGGUCUGAGAGGACGACCAGCCACACUGGAACUGAGACACGGUCCAGACUCCUACGGGAGGCAGCAGUAGGGAAUUUUGGACAAUGGGCGCAAGCCUGAUCCAGCAAUGCCGCGUGAGUGAAGAAGGCCUUCGGGUUGUAAAGCUCUUUUGUCAGGGAAGAAACGGUAGAGGCUAAUAUCCUUUGCUAAUGACGGUACCUGAAGAAUAAGCACCGGCUAACUACGUG
This 482-nucleotide ribosomal RNA is filed under the name uncultured bacterium. RNAcentral describes it as "partial 16S ribosomal RNA". It matches the Rfam family "Bacterial small subunit ribosomal RNA", at positions 30 to 507 of the family's 1533-position model. The record is from RNAcentral.